RNAcentral lists this ribosomal RNA (227 nucleotides) under uncultured bacterium. RNAcentral's name for it is "partial 16S ribosomal RNA". It matches the Rfam family "Bacterial small subunit ribosomal RNA", at positions 1274 to 1500 of the family's 1533-position model. The record is from RNAcentral.
UCUUAAAGCCGUUCUCAGUUCGGAUUGUAGGCUGCAACUCGCCUACAUGAAGUCGGAAUCGCUAGUAAUCGCGGAUCAGCAUGCCGCGGUGAAUACGUUCCCGGGCCUUGUACACACCGCCCGUCACACCAUGAGAGUUUGUAACACCCAAAGCCGGUGGGGUAACCUUUUGGAGCCAGCCGUCUAAGGUGGGACAGAUGAUUGGGGUGAAGUCGUAACAAGGUAGC